Molecule: ribosomal RNA, 250 nt
Filed under: uncultured bacterium
Lineage: Bacteria
Description: partial 16S ribosomal RNA
Rfam family: Bacterial small subunit ribosomal RNA
Source: RNAcentral
GGGGUAAGUAGAGUGGCAAACGGGUGAGUAACACGUAAGAAUCUACCUUUUGGUGGGGGAUACCUUCGAGAAAUUGGAGUUAAUACCAUAUAAGUCCCUUCGGGGAGAAAGGCCGCGUAAUGCGGUCGCCGAAAGAUGAGCUUGCGGCCUAUUAGCUAGUUGGUGUGGUAAGAGCGCACCAAGGCGAUGAUGGGUAACCGGCCUGAGAGGGUGUACGGUCACACUGGAACUGAGAUACGGUCCAGACUCC